RNAcentral lists this ribosomal RNA (119 nucleotides) under Oncorhynchus mykiss (rainbow trout). The record is from RNAcentral. Lineage: Eukaryota; Metazoa; Chordata; Actinopteri; Salmoniformes; Salmonidae.
GCUUAUGGCCACACCGGCCUGAGUAUGCCUGAUCUCGUCCGAUCUCGGAAGCUAAGCAGGGUCGGGCCUGGUUAGUACUUGGAUGGGAGACCGCCUGGGAAUACCAGGUGCUGUAAGCU